Molecule: ribosomal RNA, 838 nt
Filed under: Weissella confusa
Lineage: Bacteria; Bacillati; Bacillota; Bacilli; Lactobacillales; Lactobacillaceae
Description: bacterial SSU rRNA
Rfam family: Bacterial small subunit ribosomal RNA
Source: RNAcentral
ACGCUUUGUGGUUCAACUGAUUUGAAGAGCUUGCUCAGAUAUGACGAUGGACAUUGCAAAGAGUGGCGAACGGGUGAGUAACACGUGGGAAACCUACCUCUUAGCAGGGGAUAACAUUUGGAAACAGAUGCUAAUACCGUAUAACAAUGACAACCGCAUGGUUGUUAUUUAAAAGAUGGUUCUGCUAUCACUAAGAGAUGGUCCCGCGGUGCAUUAGCUAGUUGGUAAGGUAAUGGCUUACCAAGGCGAUGAUGCAUAGCCGAGUUGAGAGACUGAUCGGCCACAAUGGGACUGAGACACGGCCCAUACUCCUACGGGAGGCAGCAGUAGGGAAUCUUCCACAAUGGGCGAAAGCCUGAUGGAGCAACGCCGCGUGUGUGAUGAAGGGUUUCGGCUCGUAAAACACUGUUGUAAGAGAAGAAUGACAUUGAGAGUAACUGUUCAAUGUGUGACGGUAUCUUACCAGAAAGGAACGGCUAAAUACGUGCCAGCAGCCGCGGUAAUACGUAUGUUCCAAGCGUUAUCCGGAUUUAUUGGGCGUAAAGCGAGCGCAGACGGUUAUUUAAGUCUGAAGUGAAAGCCCUCAGCUCAACUGAGGAAUUGCUUUGGAAACUGGAUGACUUGAGUGCAGUAGAGGAAAGUGGAACUCCAUGUGUAGCGGUGAAAUGCGUAGAUAUAUGGAAGAACACCAGUGGCGAAGGCGGCUUUCUGGACUGUAACUGACGUUGAGGCUCGAAAGUGUGGGUAGCAAACAGGAUUAGAUACCCUGGUAGUCCACACCGUAAACGAUGAGUGCUAGGUGUUUGAGGGUUUCCGCCCUUAAGUGCCGCAGCAAACG